This 261-nucleotide ribosomal RNA is filed under the name uncultured Eubacteriales bacterium. RNAcentral describes it as "uncultured Clostridiales bacterium partial 16S ribosomal RNA". It matches the Rfam family "Bacterial small subunit ribosomal RNA", at positions 78 to 339 of the family's 1533-position model. The record is from RNAcentral. Lineage: Bacteria; Bacillati; Bacillota; Clostridia; Eubacteriales.
AAUUGAAGCAGAGGACAGUGGCGGACGGGUGAGUAACGCGUGGGUAACCUGCCUCAUACAGGGGAAUAACAGUUGGAAACGACUGCUAAUACCGCAUGGCACAUAGAUGUCGCAUGGCAUUUAUGUCAAAGAUUUAUCGCUGAAAGAUGGCCUCGCGUCUGAUUAGCUGGUUGGCGGGGUAACGGCCCACCAAGGCGACGAUCAGUAGCCGGACUGAGAGGUUGAACGGCCACAUUGGGACUGAGAUACGGCCCAGACUCC